GACANGACAGCCNGGCAACACUGCUAAACAUUAAUUAGGUGAAGUUNGCCAANUGGUAUAAAGAUAAAAAAUGGUGUAAUCUACGAUAGUAUUCUUAUUUAAGAUGAAUGUCAGCNUUUAUCCUUUCGGNUCUUGNGGUUUACAAUGCAACAUCNGCUUACCUGUUUGUAAGUGCCACUUGGUAUAAUCGAAAAUCUUGCAUUCUUCCGACAAACUGCUCUAAACCUGCNAAUACACACNUGUGCAUAAUAUAAGAAGUCUCUGUUUACCAAGCGAUACCUGACNAGUAUUUAAGUGAGAUUCCUUUGAAGAUGUUAAGGUNAAAAAGAUAUUUAUGUCNCUGCCCUUUGAAACUUUUACNGAUCANUCUCUAGUUUGCUAAUUCCACAUUAAUAACAAAAAUAAUCAUAGUUAUCUCCAUGGACACUGNAGGACUUAAGUCAAAGUGAANACUUUGGCCAGCCUAUUUACUGAUCGAACUCAUGGCU
This 488-nucleotide ribosomal RNA is filed under the name uncultured Sphaeroeca. RNAcentral describes it as "partial 18S ribosomal RNA". Lineage: Eukaryota; Choanoflagellata; Craspedida; Salpingoecidae. The record is from RNAcentral.